RNA transcript from Harpia harpyja (harpy eagle), 4509 nucleotides. It is a transcript of the gene named E3 ubiquitin-protein ligase RNF4-like, with no coding region annotated. Lineage: Eukaryota; Metazoa; Chordata; Aves; Accipitriformes; Accipitridae. The record is from RefSeq and is a predicted model, not a curated record. The transcript is spliced from 3 exons.
UCACUGUGUGUUGCACACCUGAUAAUUUUACCAUGACCAAGCUUUAAGAGUUCAGUACCACACAAACACUGCCUCGAGAGUCCAUCCGUUGCUUUCAGUUCAACUGAAUUGGGAUUCCUUAAUAUUUUUCUAGUCCGCUAACUAACAAGCUUAUUCUGGUGUUUAGCUUAGGAGAUGGGCAAGAAUGACUGGGGCUUCAGGCCCAGCUGUAGGUGUCCGAGGCUCAAUGACCAAACUCUGGGACUUCUCCUCUAGCUUUGGACAGAAACUGGUGACUCAGGAAUGGGAAUCUUGGAGAGGGGGUGUAUUUGAGAGAACAAGCAUUACACAGGGCUAAUCUCUUUUCUUUUCUUACAGGGUUGGAAGAACAUCGUUCUCAGACCCUGAGAAAUCUGGACUCUUUUAGCAGUGUGCUACCUAAAGGAAUAUAAGGAGUUGCUACUUGCAGCUUCCUUGCAAUUAAUUUUUUGGUACUUGUACCUCUCUUUCUGUGGUUUUAGAUCAAGAAACGCCAUGAGCACAACUCAACGAAAGCGCCGUGGAAGAGCAGUUAAUUCUAGGCAAGCUCGGAAACGAAACAGGUUGAUGGCUUCAACCACAGGAACGGCUUCAGAAGCAGAGCCAGCAGAACUUGAAGAAAGUGGUAAGCUUUCUUUUCAACUUGGUAAGAACACAAAUUGCUUCUGGAGGGUUGGGGUCCCACUUAACGUGUGGGUUUUUUUCCUGUUUCUAGGCCCUUUACUGCGGAGGAAGGGAAAGCUCUUCUUUUAAAAAGCAUCUAGUAUGGCACUUGUAAACAACAAGCCUACUGAGAGCUGUUGUAGUUUGUUACUGAGAUGCGAUACAUUCAGCACUGGUGAUACAUGAGUUGUGUGGGAAAGGUACUCGAGUGCAGGUCAAACAUGCGAGUGUCUAGUCUGACGAGCUGCGAGUCACUGCAGCUGCCGCUAGAGACAGUGGCAAACUAAGUUUGGGAACUCCCAAGUUUUAAGAAGAUAACGAGAAGUUUGUUGUUAGUUGUGCCUUGUCCCUCAAGGGAGAGGCAGUACUUGGUCAGUCCUUUUUUGGAAAAAGUACCGGAACUUCAAAAGCCUCCUUGACCUCCUAAAUAGAGAUUUAAAUUGCCACCUGAAAUCCUAGGAAAGAUUAGAAGUAAUUGUUGGCCUCCAGGCAAUUAUAGGUCUUUUCCAGUUUUUGCUGUGCAUUUGACUAUGAAAGGUUGGAAGAGACAUGAGACAGGAACAUUUACAGCAAGGUGCUGUAAAAUUAUUAUAUCCUACAUGUGUUUUAUUCUGUGUGAUAAACGUUCUCCAAUGUUAGGUGAGUAAUCUGUUGCUGUGUACCUCCUGCAAGCUGUUGUCAUACAACAGAACUGUAUGAGGAGCUGAGCCGCUGUUCCUCUUGCAUUGCAGCUUGCAGAAGGCAGCGUGGUAAUGCCCUGUGUGGACUCCUGAGGGCAAAGCUUGAGUGAAAUGUUGGCUAUGUUGCUGCAGAGGAGAGGGAUAGGGCAAGGUUGAAUCAUACCUCAGCCUCUUACAUAUAGUGGCAGGCAAUUUUACUCCUCUUCCAUCUCUGAUCUUGUCUCUAAUGUUCUGUUUUUAAGCUGGUGAGGAAGUAGUAGAUCUCACAUGUGAAUCUUCUGAUCCUGUAGUCGUUGAUCCAACUCACAAUGAUUCUGUUGUGACGUGGUGAUAAACGCAUUUCAAGUAUGACAUUCUCUAAGGAUGUAGACCCCUCGUUCACUAAGUGUUAGUCUAAGGAUCAGAGGAAGUCUGGUAUACUCGUCAUGGCGCAGUCGUGAAUGUCGAUGAAGAAUCCUGCGGAGAAGUACGAAGCUUGAGGAAUCUGGAAGGCCGAAUGCUAAGGCAUGGAAGAAUUCUGUUGAAAUGCGUAUUUGACCUCUAUUUGAAGACGCGUACAGUAAAAGGCAGCGGAUGUCAUGAAUGCAGAAGUAAAACUUAAUCCUUACAAGGUUUGGGUUUGGGUCAUAGUUUACCGAGGCCUUAGGUAUUCAAAAAGUCAUCGUCUGGGCUUGUCUUCUGGCAUCUCAGUAAGUAGCCUGACUUAAAGGGUUAAAACGCGGCUUUGAUUUGCCACUUUAGACAGAGUUCCCGUUCAACCCCAAAUGGGCCUAUGAAUGCGUCAACAUCUAGGAGUAUCACUUCCCGAUAGUGGCAGAGUAAUCUAAAAUAGCUUGCUGCUCCAGAACUUGGGGAGAAUACAUACCAGUGAUGGCUACUGUAACAUAAGGAGAUGCACUUUCAAGCUGAAGCUAUGAUAGCUGUAUCAAAGAUACAGGCGAAUGACUUAAAUAAAAAGCAAAGGAGGUAACAGUUAGUCUGUGACUUCAGAAAUAUGAAGUGUUUAGCUGCAAUGUCAGUUGAAGGUACUCCUGUCGGAGAGAUGCCAAGCGCAACUGUAGCUGGCCGUGGUACAAACUAGUUCUGGUUUUGGCUGGGAUAGAGUUAAUUUUCUUUCUAGUAGCUGGUAUAGUGCUAUGUUUUGGGUUCACUGUGAGAAGAAUGUUGAUAACACACUGACGUUUUCAGUUGUUGCUAAGUAGUGUUUAGACUAAUGUCAGGGAUUUUUCAGCUUCUGAUGCCCAGCCAGCGAGAAGGCUGGAGGGGCACAAGAAGUUGGGAGGGGACACAGCCAGGGCAGCUGACCCCAGCUGGCCAAAGGGGUAUUCCAUACCAUGUGACAUCAUGCCCAGUAUAUAAACUGGGGGGAGUGGGGCUGGGAGGGAUUGCUGCUUGGGAACUAACUGGUCAUCGGUUGGUGGGUGGUGAGCAAUUGCACUGUGCGUCACCUGUAUAUUCUAAUCCUUUUAGUAUUGCUAUUGUCAUUUUAUUAGUGUUAUCGUUACUAGUUUCUUCCUUUCUGUUCUAUUCAACUGUUCUUAUCCCACGAGUUUUACUUUUUUUUUUUCCGCCCGUUCUCUCCCCCAUCCCACUGGGUUGAGUGGGAGUGAGUGAGCGAGCGGCUGUGUGGUGCUUAGUUGCUGGCUGGGGUUAAACCACAAGUUUAUUACUCCAAGAAGUCUUUAAAAAACCUGCUUUUUUUUACUGCUAUUUUUAAAGCUGGAAUAGUAUUCGAUCCAGUCCACAGUGUAGUUUAUAACCUCAGUUCUGGGAUGCCACUGCUGCCGUGCAAACCUGAAACAAGCGGCAGGAAUAGCACGGGAGUAUCUCCUGCUGGGAUUGUUCCUGAGCCCUUUGCAAGGGAACGGCCUCAAACUUUGCAACAUCGUCCGCAUUGCCCCAGCUCUAGUUCCAGCAAAGACAAUAGUGGGUUUGGGUUGGGGAUUUUUUUCUCCAGCAGCUGUUAAUCUAAUAUGAAGUGUUAAUGGCUAUCACACCUGAACUGGCCUGUUUGGGGGAGGGAGAGGGAAAGAAUGUCCUCCAGCCUAAAUCGCAUUAGGGUCCUGAAACUGGGGAGCAGGGAGAAGGGUGUUCAGGUGGUUCGUAGGCUGCCUCCAUUUCUAUCCCUUUGCAGCAGUGUGAGCAGAACCAGAAGCAACCCCUUCCUUAUUUUCAGAGCAGCAGCUAAUUUACUACUACUUCGAACAUUCUUCAUCAAAAUAAGAGAGUGAUAUCCCACCCUUCUUAGCUUGUUUCGUUGUAAUUGCUUAGCUUGUCUGGUGUUUGUAUGUAACGCUAGAGGUGCACGCCAAAGUCUAAUUGUAUUUUCUUUUCUCUCCCUUCCCACAUAUGUUGAUGCAAGAUUGUUGAAGGUAAGUUGACGUUUUACAAUUUGUAAUGUAAUUGGCCUAAACUUAAAUUUUAUUUUUGUCUUUUCCAAAGAACCUGGGCAGCAUGGAUUGAAACUGCAUUUACCAAAAGACAAAGCACAGUGCUAAAGUAUCUGGCUGGCCAGCGUCUCGGAGAACGGAUCCAAUCUGUGUUUGAUGGUCACUGUCGGAGCUUGUAGAAAGUAUCUGAAAUAGAAUAGAUCAAAGCUGCUCAAAAUAUGUUUUCUUAUUUUCCAAAUUCAGAAUUUCUGUAAGCCCAAAGUUGAUGAUAAUUUUAAUUAGCACUGGAAUACCUGCUUUGAAUAAGAAAAUGUUGAAAGGCUUUUUUAGCCUGUAUUGCAGUGAAGUAACUAAAGGCAAAGUUACAGACUGUUUAUAAUCACGCAUUUCAAGGAUAGUUCCAGGGCUAUAUACUUUAUAAUCUAGCUAACUCACCAAAUUUAACUUACAGAGAAUCAACGAGAAAGGAGAGAUCGCAGACUAAGAGGCCAGCCAAGGUUCCAUAUCUGUGUCCUGAUUAGCGAUGAUGAAGAUGAACCCAGAGACGAUGAUGUGUAUGUGAAAGAUAAAGUGUCUUUCUAAAAUCUAAUUUUUGAUAUACAGUAGAAACCGAUUUCUUCCAAGCUUCUGGGUUCUCUUUGAUUACUAUGCAAAAACUUCAGACCUAAAAUAGAAUUGCAUUUCUAGAAGAGAACCCCCCAAAACCCCAAACAAACUUUUGUUCAGUUGUUUGUGAAAUCCUUAUCUAAUGUAUCUUA